GAUGAACGCUGGCGGCGUGCCUAAUACAUGCAAGUCGAGCGAACGGACGAUAAGCUUGCUUCUCUGAUGUUAGCGGCGGACGGGUGAGUAACACGUGGAUAACCUACCUAUAAGACUGGGAUAACUUCGGGAAACCGGAGCUAAUACCGGAUAAUAUUUUGAACCGCAUGGUUCAAAAGUGAAAGACGGUCUUGCUGUCACUUAUAGAUGGAUCCGUGCUGCAUUAGCUAGUUGGUAAGGUAACGGCUUACCAAGGCAACGAUGCAUAGCCGACCUGAGAGGGUGAUCGGCCACACUGGAACUGAGACACGGUCCAGACUCCUACGGGAGGCAGCAGUAGGGAAUCUUACGCAAUGGGCGAAAGCCUGACGGAGCAACGCCGCGUGAGUGAUGAAGGUCUUCGGAUCGUAAAACUCUGUUAUUAGGGAAGAACAUAUGUGUAAGUAACUGUGCACAUCUUGACGGUACCUAAUCAGAAAGCCACGGCUAACUACGUG
RNAcentral lists this ribosomal RNA (497 nucleotides) under uncultured bacterium. Its description in RNAcentral is "partial 16S ribosomal RNA". It matches the Rfam family "Bacterial small subunit ribosomal RNA", at positions 28 to 507 of the family's 1533-position model. The record is from RNAcentral.